Molecule: long non-coding RNA, 424 nt
Organism: Fukomys damarensis (Damara mole-rat)
Lineage: Eukaryota; Metazoa; Chordata; Mammalia; Rodentia; Bathyergidae
Source: Ensembl
UUUUAAGUCAAAUUGUCAUCCUGUAUGGACUCACAGAACUAAAGCCCAGCCCCAGCCAUUCCAAGCUCUAUCCGCAGACAUUGAAACAGGAGAUUAGAGCCGGGGCAAAGCUAGUCAAACAACUGCAUCGUCUGUCAAAGCCGUGCAGACCCAGGGCACACUUGUGGAGCUCGGAAUCCAGGAUGACAGUGAAGCUCCUCGGCGCCGAACACGGAACCUUAAGAAAAGCGCCAUUUCCCAUUCUUAAUUUACAUCUGGCACAAAGUCCAGUGAGUCUUUGAUAGGACGUCAUCCCAAUGCCUUGUACGCACGAGCAAGAAGCCAUUUCGGGGCUUCCAGAUUCCCUUUUCCUUGCAGCUGCUGUGAGCCUGUUCGUUCACGGGCCCGCUCUCACUCUGCAGAGUGUACUUCUUUCCCACCUCCA